GAUGAACGCUGGCGGCGUGCCUAAUACAUGCAAGUCGAGCGAAGCGGGGACGGGUGAGUAACACGUGGAUAACAUCCUAUAAGACUGGGGUAACUUCGGGAAACCGGAGCUAAACCCGACAUUUAUAGAUGGAUCCGCGCUGCAUUAGCUAGUUGGUAAGGUAACGGCUUACCAAGGCAACGAUGCAUAGCCGACCUGAGAGGGUGAUCGGCAACACUGGAACGGGGACACGGCCCAGACUCCUACGGGAGGAGGCGGUAGGGAAUCUUCCGCAAUGGGCGAAAGCCUGACGGGGCAAGCCGGCGUGAUUGUUGCAGGUCUUCGGAUCGUAAAACCCUGUUAUCAGGGAAGCGGUACCGAAACAGAAAGCCACGGCUAACUACGUGCCAGCAGCCGCGGUAAUUC
RNAcentral lists this ribosomal RNA (405 nucleotides) under uncultured bacterium. RNAcentral's name for it is "partial 16S ribosomal RNA". It matches the Rfam family "Bacterial small subunit ribosomal RNA", at positions 28 to 526 of the family's 1533-position model. The record is from RNAcentral.